This 418-nucleotide ribosomal RNA is filed under the name bacterium. RNAcentral's name for it is "partial 16S ribosomal RNA". It matches the Rfam family "Bacterial small subunit ribosomal RNA", at positions 356 to 776 of the family's 1533-position model. The record is from RNAcentral.
UGGGGAUAUUGCACAAUGGGCGAAAGCCUGAUGCAGCGACGCCGCGUGGGGGAUGAAGGCCUUCGGGUUGUAAACUUCUUUUGCUCUGAACAAGGCGCACCAUGGGGUGUGUUGAGUGUAGGGGUUGAUUAGCGCCGGCUAACUACGUGCCAGCAGCCGCGGUAAUACGUAGGGCGCGAGCGUUGUCCGGAUUUAUUGGGCGUAAAGGGCUUGUAGGUGGCUGGUUGCGUCUGUCGUGAAAUCUCAUGGCUUAACUGUGGGUUUGCGGUGGGUACGGGCUGGCUUGAGUGCAGUAGGGGAGGCUGGAAUUUCUGGUGUAGCGGUGGAAUGCGCAGAUAUCAGGAGGAAUACCGGUGGCGAAGGCGGGUCUCUGGGCUGUUACUGACACUGAGGAGCGAAAGCAUGGGGAGCGAACAGG